CCUACGGGAGGCUGCAGUGUGGAAUAUUGGACAAUGGGCGAAAGCCUGAUCCAGCCAUGCCGCGUGUGUGAAGAAGGCCUUCGGGUUGUAAAGCACUUUCAGUGGGGAAGAAAGCCUUGGGGCUAAUACCCUCGAGGAAGGACAUCACCCACAGAAGAAGCACCGGCUAACUCCGUGCCAGCAGCCGCGGUAAUACGGAGGGUGCGAGCGUUAAUCGGAAUUACUGGGCGUAAAGCGCGCGUAGGCGGUCUGAUAAGCCGGUUGUGAAAGCCCCGGGCUCAACCUGGGAACGGCAUCCGGAACUGUCAGGCUAGAGUGCAGGAGAGGAAGGUAGAAUUCCCGGUGUAGCGGUGAAAUGCGUAGAGAUCGGGAGGAAUACCAGUGGCGAAGGCGGCCUUCUGGACUGACACUGACGCUGAGGUGCGAAAGCGUGGGUAGCAAACAGGAUUAGAUACCCUGGUAGUC
RNAcentral lists this ribosomal RNA (465 nucleotides) under Vreelandella stevensii. RNAcentral describes it as "partial 16S ribosomal RNA". It matches the Rfam family "Bacterial small subunit ribosomal RNA", at positions 338 to 795 of the family's 1533-position model. The record is from RNAcentral. Lineage: Bacteria; Pseudomonadati; Pseudomonadota; Gammaproteobacteria; Oceanospirillales; Halomonadaceae.